This is a long non-coding RNA of Xenopus laevis (African clawed frog), 767 nucleotides long. RefSeq lists it as uncharacterized. NCBI's taxonomy places the organism in Eukaryota, Metazoa, Chordata, Amphibia, Anura, Pipidae. The record is from RefSeq and is a predicted model, not a curated record. The transcript has 3 exons.
AAUGGUUAGUGGCAGGUCGGGAGAUGAGAAAGUCCGAUCGUACAUUGAUUCGUACGAUCGGAUCUUUGCGUCUGUGGCCAGCUUAAGAGCCAUUUGGAACUGAUAUGUGCAUAUUCAGUGCUGCUAGAGAUUUAACAAAAUACAAGCAAGUCUAAUUCUGCAAACAAAGCCGUGGAUGUAAAUCUAUCAUGUGCCAACAGUGGAUGCCUCCUUUGUUGUCACAGAGUGAAUACAGAAGACUGAUGCAUUUUAUCACCAAUUAAGUAGAUUUUCCCAGGAAAUUAGAGCAAAAUUGCAAAACUUUUCCAAAGAUAACUCAUCGCAAUCCAAGAAAGUAAAAAAUCACAAAAAGGAAAAAGAAGAUUAUGCAAUAGAAAAUAAGCCUGUAAUAUGCCAGGACUGCAGUUUUGACUCAAAAACAAGAGAGUUAAAGCCUUCCUAAGUGAAAAUAAUGAAAGCUGAUUUGGAGAAGGGAGAGAAGACCCACACAUUUUCCAAUAGCUCUUACAAUAGUGGGACGAACCAGAAUUAGAUGACGCCACAUAUCGCAUUAAAGGAGACUAGUAACUGUCUGGAUCUUCACAACAGUGCUGGGAUAAUUCCGCCAAUUAGCUACAACUUGACUGCCAUAUUCCCUUAAAUGAACUCCAGUGCAAAUACUGCCUCUAGUAUAGGGCAUGUUAAUUUCAGGUAAUAAAUAAAAACCUUGUGUGACCCUUCUGUGUAGGACUGUUGCCUUUGUUUCCCUCCCAUCACAACUCUCCCGU